Molecule: small nuclear RNA, 116 nt
Filed under: Arabidopsis thaliana (thale cress)
Lineage: Eukaryota; Viridiplantae; Streptophyta; Magnoliopsida; Brassicales; Brassicaceae
Also listed under: 1 other name
Description: U5 spliceosomal RNA
Rfam family: U5 spliceosomal RNA
About the family: U5 RNA is a component of both types of known spliceosome.
Source: RNAcentral
AGCCAUGCAGUGAGAGCAUAGCGAACUAUUCUUUCGCCUUUUACUAAAGAAUACCGUGUUCUCUCUGCUUAUAAACGACAUACGCCUAUUUUUGGGAAGGUUAAUUACUAAAUAAU